Molecule: unclassified non-coding RNA, 178 nt
Filed under: Cladophialophora boppii
Lineage: Eukaryota; Fungi; Ascomycota; Eurotiomycetes; Chaetothyriales; Herpotrichiellaceae
Description: ITS2
Source: RNAcentral
AUCACCCCUCAAGCCUCGUGCUUGAUGUUGGACGGCUUGGUCGAGCCCCCUCGACCCCUCCUAAAGACAAUGACGGCGGCCUGUGGUUCCCCCGGUACACUGAGCUUUUAACUGAGCACGUAUCGGAUCAGGGUACCCGGGACCCGGUCUUCUCCUCUCAGUAGGAAACUUCUUCAGG